This 201-nucleotide long non-coding RNA is filed under the name Homo sapiens (human). Its description in RNAcentral is "HSALNT0033716". Lineage: Eukaryota; Metazoa; Chordata; Mammalia; Primates; Hominidae. The record is from RNAcentral.
CCAGAAACGAUGACUUGACCAUAGUCACGUCAUGAGGUGAGAGAUUCCGGGAAGGGGCAGCAAGAGGAGAAAGAAGCGAAGGGCGCCCCAAGGUAAUGUGUGCCCUACACAGGGCUCCUAGCCAUAAGCACUUAUGCAAGUGCGGGGCACAGAGAAAAUUCUGGUAACACUCCUCCCCUCAAUUCUGAUCAGGUCCCAGGC